This 262-nucleotide ribosomal RNA is filed under the name uncultured bacterium. Its description in RNAcentral is "partial 16S ribosomal RNA". It matches the Rfam family "Bacterial small subunit ribosomal RNA", at positions 524 to 786 of the family's 1533-position model. The record is from RNAcentral.
UACGUAGGGGGCAAGCGUUGUCCGGAAUCAUUGGGCGUAAAGAGCGUGUAGGCGGCCUGGUAAGUCCGCUGUGAAAGUCCAGGGCUCAACCCUGGAAUGCCGGUGGAAACUGUCAGGCUCGAGUCCGGAAGAGGCGAGUGGAAUUCCUGGUGUAGCGGUGAAAUGCGCAGAGUAUCAGGAGGAACACCCAAUGGCGAAGGCAGCUCGCUGGGACGGUACUGACGCUGAGACGCGAAAGCGUGGGAGCAACAGGAUAGAUACC